This 367-nucleotide ribosomal RNA is filed under the name uncultured soil bacterium. RNAcentral describes it as "bacterial SSU rRNA". It matches the Rfam family "Bacterial small subunit ribosomal RNA", at positions 26 to 399 of the family's 1533-position model. The record is from RNAcentral.
AGAUUGAACGCUGGCGGCAUGCCUUACACAUGCAAGUCGAACGGUAGAGUAGCAAUACUUGAGAGUGGCGAACGGGUGAGUAAUAUAUCGGAACGUGCCCAGUCGUGGGGGAUAACGUAGAGAAAUUUACGCUAAUACCGCAUACGAUCUAAGGAUGAAAGCGGGGGACGUAAGGCCUCGCGCGAUUGGAGCGGCUGAUAGUCAGAUUAGGUUGUUGGUGAGGUAAAAAGCUCACCAAGCCGACGAUCUGUAGCUGGUUUGAGAGAACGACCAGCCACGACUGGGACUGAGACACGGCCCAGACUCCGUACGGGAGGCAGCAGGUCGGGGAAUUUGGACAUGGGCGAAAGCCUGAUCAGCAAUGCCG